RNAcentral lists this ribosomal RNA (792 nucleotides) under uncultured bacterium. RNAcentral describes it as "bacterial SSU rRNA". It matches the Rfam family "Bacterial small subunit ribosomal RNA", at positions 75 to 882 of the family's 1533-position model. The record is from RNAcentral.
GGAGCUUGCUUUAUAUAACUUAGCAGCGAACGGGUGAGUAACACGUAGAUAAUCUAUCCUAUACUGGGGGAUAGCCCGAUGAAAGUUGGAUUAAUACCGCAUAUAGCUAUAUAGUUGCAUGAUUAUGUAGUGAAAGAUUUAUUGGUAUAGGAGGAGUCUGCGGCACAUUAGCUAGUAGGUGAGGUAAAGGCUUACCUAGGCGACGAUGUGUAGCCGGUCUGAGAGGAUGAACGGCCACAAUGGAACUGAGACACGGUCCAUACUCCUACGGGAGGCAGCAGUGGGGAAUAUUGCACAAUGGGGGAAACCCUGAUGCAGCAACGCCGCGUGAGUGAAGAAGGUUUUCGGAUUGUAAAGCUCUGUUAGCAGGGAAGAGGAAGGACGGUACCUGCAGAGGAAGCCACGGCUAACUACGUGCCAGCAGCCGCGGUAAUACGUAGGUGGCAAGCGUUGUUCGGAAUAACUGGGCGUAAAGGAUGCGUAGGCGGUUAAACAAGUUAUAUGUUAAAUAUAUAGGCUUAACCUGUAGAAAGCAUAUAAAACUGUUUAACUAGAGUGCAGGAGAGGUAAGUGGAAUUCCUAGUGUAGCGGUGAAAUGCGUAGAGAUUAGGAAGAACACCAGUGGCGAAGGCGACUUACUGGACUGUAACUGACGCUGAGGCAUGAGAGCAUGGGGAGCAAACAGGAUUAGAUACCCUGGUAGUCCAUGCUGUAAACGAUGGGUACUAGGUGUGGGUUGUGAAUAACAAUUCGUGCCGUCGCAAACGCAAUAAGUACCCCGCCUGAGGAGUA